GACGUAGGGGGCGAGCGUUGUCCGGAUUUACUGGGCGUAAAGAGCGCGUAGGCGGUCUUGUAAGUGUGAAGUGAAAUCUCCAGGGCUCAACCCGGAAACUGCUUUACAUACUGCAAGACUAGAGUGAUGAAGAGGUUUGUGGAAUUCCUGGUGUAACGGUGAAAUGUGUUGAUAUCAGGAGGAACACCCAUGGCGAAGGCAGCAAACUGGUCAUCAACUGACGCUGAGGCGCGAAAGCGUGGGUAGCAAAC
RNAcentral lists this ribosomal RNA (251 nucleotides) under uncultured bacterium. Its description in RNAcentral is "partial 16S ribosomal RNA". It matches the Rfam family "Bacterial small subunit ribosomal RNA", at positions 524 to 773 of the family's 1533-position model. The record is from RNAcentral.